RNAcentral lists this ribosomal RNA (345 nucleotides) under Triticum aestivum (bread wheat). RNAcentral's name for it is "partial small subunit ribosomal RNA". The record is from RNAcentral. Lineage: Eukaryota; Viridiplantae; Streptophyta; Magnoliopsida; Poales; Poaceae.
AUGCUAGGGACCUCUUGCACACACGCCACCAAGGGGAAGGCAACUGCCGGCUCAGGGCAAGGAAACGACGACGAUGAGAGGCAUGCCAUUGCCAGAACACCAGGGACUUGUGGAGAACACAAUCAGACAGUUCCAUCGUCAAAGAAGGCCCCUGCCUCCUCUCCUGGCUCGAAAGGCGCCACACCGUUGAGAGAUGGACUAGUUCACCCUAGAACCUGCCUGAAUGGCACCCAAGGCAGCCACAGGAGCAGAACCAGGUGUUCCUCACUUGUCGACGGCGACUCACCUAGAGCCAAGCAGCCCCAAAACCGAAGAUCGGGCGAGAAAGAGGGUGAGCUGCCAUGA